ACUCCUACGGGAGGCAGCAGUGGGGAAUAUUGGACAAUGGGCGCAAGCCUGAUCCAGCCAUGCCGCGUGAGUGAUGAAGGCCCUAGGGUUGUAAAGCUCUUUCACCGGUGAAGAUAAUGACGGUAACCGGAGAAGAAGCCCCGGCUAACUUCGUGCCAGCAGCCGCGGUAAUACGAAGGGGGCUAGCGUUGUUCGGAUUUACUGGGCGUAAAGCGCACGUAGGCGGACUAUUAAGUCAGGGGUGAAAUCCCGGGGCUCAACCCCGGAACUGCCUUUGAUACUGGUAGUCUUGAGUUCGAGAGAGGUGAGUGGAAUUCCGAGUGUAGAGGUGAAAUUCGUAGAUAUUCGGAGGAACACCAGUGGCGAAGGCGGCUCACUGGCUCGAUACUGACGCUGAGGUGCGAAAGCGUGGGGAGCAAACAGGAUUAGAAACCCUUGUAGUCCCAU
Molecule: ribosomal RNA, 447 nt
Filed under: uncultured organism
Description: partial 16S ribosomal RNA
Rfam family: Bacterial small subunit ribosomal RNA
Source: RNAcentral